CCUACGGGAGGCAGCAGUAGGGAAUAUUGCUCAAUGGGGGAAACCCUGAAGCAGCAACGCCGCGUGGAGGAUGAAGGUUUUCGGAUUGUAAACUCCUUUUGUUAGAGAAGAUAAUGACGGUAUCUAACGAAUAAGCACCGGCUAACUCCGUGCCAGCAGCCGCGGUAAUACGGAGGGUGCAAGCGUUACUCGGAAUCACUGGGCGGAAAGAGCGCGUAGGCGGGAUAGCAAGUCAGAUGUGAAAUCCUAUGGCUUAACCAUAGAACUGCAUUUGAAACUGUUAUUCUAGAGUAUGGGAGAGGUAGGUGGAAUUCUUGGUGGAGGGGUAAAAUCCGUAGAGAUCAAGAGGAAUACUCAUUGCGAAGGCGACCUGCUAGAACAUAACUGACGCUGAUGCGCGAAAGCGUGGGGAGCAAACAGGAUUAGAUACCCCGGUAGUC
RNAcentral lists this ribosomal RNA (440 nucleotides) under uncultured bacterium. RNAcentral describes it as "partial 16S ribosomal RNA". It matches the Rfam family "Bacterial small subunit ribosomal RNA", at positions 338 to 795 of the family's 1533-position model. The record is from RNAcentral.